RNAcentral lists this ribosomal RNA (460 nucleotides) under uncultured bacterium. Its description in RNAcentral is "partial 16S ribosomal RNA". It matches the Rfam family "Bacterial small subunit ribosomal RNA", at positions 338 to 795 of the family's 1533-position model. The record is from RNAcentral.
CCUACGGGUGGCAGCAGUGAGGAAUAUUGGUCAAUGGACGAGAGUCUGAACCAGCCAAGUCGCGUGAAGGAUGACUGCCCUAUGGGUUGUAAACUUCUUUUAUAUGGGAAUAAAAUGUUCCACGUGUGGGCUUUUGUAUGUACCAUAUGAAUAAGGAUCGGCUAACUCCGUGCCAGCAGCCGCGGUAAUACGGAGGAUCCGAGCGUUAUCCGGAUUUAUUGGGUUUAAAGGGAGCGUAGGCGGAUGGUUAAGUCAGGGGUGAAAGUUUGCGGCUCAACCGUAAAAUUGCCGUUGAAACUGGAAGUCUUGAGUGCAGUAGAGGUGUGCGGAAUGCGUGGUGUAGCGGUGAAAUGCUUAGAUAUCACGAAGAACUCCGAUUGCGAAGGCAGCUCACCGGACUGCAACUGACACUGAGGCUCGAAAGCGUGGGUAUCAAACAGGAUUAGAUACCCCAGUAGUC